GGUCCGUUGGCAGAAUUGGCAUUGCGUCUGACUACGAAACUACUCGUUUGGGUUAAUCAGUACGACAUCAGGAGAUUCUGGGUUCGAUCCCCAGGCGGACCU
Molecule: non-coding RNA, 102 nt
Organism: Truncatella angustata
Lineage: Eukaryota; Fungi; Ascomycota; Sordariomycetes; Amphisphaeriales; Sporocadaceae
Source: the annotation of a RefSeq genome assembly